Daphnia pulicaria is the source of this 2511-nucleotide long non-coding RNA. RefSeq lists it as uncharacterized. The transcript has 2 exons. The record is from RefSeq and is a predicted model, not a curated record. Lineage: Eukaryota; Metazoa; Arthropoda; Branchiopoda; Diplostraca; Daphniidae.
AUUCAUUUUCAUUCAAAGAGAUGGGGGCUCUUUACGACUACAGUCCUUCGACCUCUGGGUCUGAUCGAUCCAUCCUGCAAUGAGGCCAUGGAUAUCUUUUGAGUUUUGACGCAUAGUCAAUGUGCGUCACUGUCUAACGUCAAUGGAUUCAAUCUAAACUCCAGUAUAGGACUUUUAUGCAUAUUUGGUUGAAACCGAAUCUUGAUUGAGUGAUUGUCUUUCAAGUGCAGUAGCAAAAUAAGGAUGAAUGACGAAAUAAUUGAAAAAUUCCAUUAUUUCCUUGCACAUUCUUUGAUGCAACCCAAAAAACUUUCAAGGACCUUUCUGUCAGACUCUCUGGCCUGAUUGAAAUCUUUUUCUUCUUUGCUUUAUCCGUUGUUCAUCGGUGCAUUAACAAACAACAUACUGCACUUGUUCCAUUUCUGUUCCACCACUCUGCAUAAUGAAAACAGCGUGCACUAUAUUAGGCUUCGUGUGGUUUUCUUUUUUUGUUGGCCAGACAGUCAGCACAGUAUAUAAACUUUUGUGCCAUAGCAUUAUAUUGAGCAAUCCCGUGGAUCAGGCAGGACGUUAUUAAAACUGACUUGCUGGUGCGGUGCUGUAGAGUGUGUGCGUAUAUUUUUCCGUCACGAAAUCAGAUAUCCCCUUCACCUCAUGUUUCUCCUAUCCAACUUUCUUGAGGAAGAAAUCCCCUUUUUUGUUACUUAUUUAUAUAAUACCAUUAUAUGACUUCCCAAGGCUGUGAUGCUUGUCACGAAAGCAAUACGCUGUUCAUUUUUCCAAGCGCGCAAUAGCUCAUGGACACGAGCUUUUUUUUGUGUUACUACACGGUGUGUUACAGUACCACAAUAUAUUCAUUUUGUCUUGCGUCAGCCACUCCCUCGUUUUAUCUUCAAUUUCCUAAUUUUGUGGACAUUGAAUACGCUAUCCCCCCUCGGACAUCUUUAACGUGAAUUUCUCCUUCUCCAUUGGUUUUACUGAUAAUAGCCCAUGUCCUAUUGUCCUUGUGGUUUGUGUCACAUUUCGCCGUAUCGGGGAUGGUGCGGCAUACGAUAUCUAUUGUCGGAAAUGUUAUUGGGAACCUUUGUCCGGAGACUCAGGCGGACGUGGAUUGCUUUUUUUACGUAAUUAAUUUUCGGAAUCCCUUGAGAAAAAUAGGGACGUACUUCUUCUCCGUCUUAUUUACAGUUUGCUACUACACUUAAUCUUGAUCUUCCUCAUUUCCACGGAAUUCGUCUGGCAAUCAGUAAAUUAUUCUUGGAAGUAAAUUGAUGAAAUCGUUCCGCAAAUAUUUUCUUUGUUUCUGAAUAAAUUUGAAUUAGUAAGAAGGGAUUGGCCAACAUGCCAUCUUGUGAGUGCGUCUGCCAUUGGACACCACUAGCGCCGUUGCGCUAAGGUUGUUUACAAAAACAAAGGCCCGAAAAAUCAUUCAAGGCACUGGGCUGUCGUGUCCCACUGUCUCUUGAGAAAUAACAAUUGAAUAUUUUGUCAUUAAUGAUUGAAACCGCGAAAAUAAAUGCCCCCGGCUGUAAGUCGAUCAAGGAAUUUUAAUGAGUAGGUCAGCACAAAGAACAGUUAGUAGUGCGUAAAGAAGCAUUACAUUUCCAGAUUCAAGACCCUUCCAUUCAUCGUCCACAUUUAAAUCAAGUUAAAUUUGACUCAUGGCUGAAAAUACGAAUUCCAGACGCAAGCCUCCUUUUCCUUAUUCAAGGCUAUCACUUUCUCAAAAUAGGAAAACAAAAACUGACUCUGUUGUAGCUUCCAAGGGAAAGAAAAAGUUGAAUGAACCAUUAAGCAAUCAUAGCUCUCGUCAAGUGUCCAAGAAACAGAAUACUGAAACUACAACUACUGUUACCCAAAACACAAGACUAAAAGAUUCAUGCGCUAAGAUUGUUCCAAAAUUCAAAUGUGAAAGUGAAUUAGAAAGAACUAUAAGGUUAAGAAUGGAAAAAUUAAAAGAAUCCCAGAAAAAACUUACGAAGUCAAAAAACGCAUUACCUGAAUCUUCUCCAAGACAAAAAUCUACUAGCCAGCAAACUUUAAAAGCAACCAGCAAUACUAGCUCCUCACAAACAAAGUUAAAAGUUAAAAUUCCUUUUCCUGAGAAGAAAAUUAAGGUGAAUAGUCCUCAUGUCAACAGUUCAAUGCCACAGAAACAAAAAACUCUUAUGAUUUGGAAAUUUAAAGAUGGGACCACUGUGAAAAAAUUUUGUUAGUUCUUCCUUUCAUUAUUUAUUGAAUGGUGGACAAACAGCAUGUCUUAUUAUUAUUUUUUUUUUCAGCACUAUUCUCUCACAAGUAUUAUUAUUUUUUUUUUGUAUUUUGAUACCUGCCACUGAUGUUUCUGUUUGUAAUGCCAUUUUUCUGGCUUUUAAAAGCAUAGAAAUCAUUUCUAUGAGUUAUGUCUGCUCUGCUUAAGUGCUUAUGCAUUUGCAAUUUAAUGCAUGUGCCCAUCAAACCAAUCAAUGAUAACUCAGUUAUUUGGUAUAAAAUACAGCAUUUUGAUUUAAA